Molecule: ribosomal RNA, 699 nt
Filed under: Bacillus sp. (in: firmicutes)
Lineage: Bacteria; Bacillati; Bacillota; Bacilli; Caryophanales; Bacillaceae
Description: bacterial SSU rRNA
Rfam family: Bacterial small subunit ribosomal RNA
Source: RNAcentral
AGAGGUGCUUGCACCUCUUGGUUAGCGGCGGACGGGUGAGUAACACGUGGGCAACCUGCCUGUAAGACUGGGAUAACUUCGGGAAACCGGAGCUAAUACCGGAUAAUCCUUUUCCUCUCAUGAGGAAAAGCUGAAAGUCGGUUUACGCUGACACUUACAGAUGGGCCCGCGGCGCAUUAGCUAGUUGGUGAGGUAACGGCUCACCAAGGCGACGAUGCGUAGCCGACCUGAGAGGGUGAUCGGCCACACUGGGACUGAGACACGGCCCAGACUCCUACGGGAGGCAGCAGUAGGGAAUCUUCCGCAAUGGACGAAAGUCUGACGGAGCAACGCCGCGUGAGCGAUGAAGGCCUUCGGGUCGUAAAGCUCUGUUGUUAGGGAAGAACAAGUACCGGAGUAACUGCCGGUACCUUGACGGUACCUAACCAGAAAGCCACGGCUAACUACGUGCCAGCAGCCGCGGUAAUACGUAGGUGGCAAGCGUUGUCCGGAAUUAUUGGGCGUAAAGCGCGCGCAGGCGGUCCUUUAAGUCUGAUGUGAAAGCCCACGGCUCAACCGUGGAGGGUCAUUGGAAACUGGGGGACUUGAGUACAGAAGAGGAAAGCGGAAUUCCACGUGUAGCGGUGAAAUGCGUAGAGAUGUGGAGGAACACCAGUGGCGAAGGCGGCUUUCUGGUCUGUAACUGACGCUGAGGCGCGA